CCUGGCUUAGGACCCCCAUCGCGGAUCCUAAGAUCCUUAGGACCCAACUGGAGGACUGUGGGUAUUAGGUGCCCAAGAAGAAAGCUCAGAUCUGCCGACGUUACUUGGGAUUUACUAUCCGACAGGUGUCCGAACACAGCUCGAGAUCAGAAAGAAAGCAGGGGUCCGAACGCAGCCCGGGAUCAGGAAGAAAGCAGGUCGUUUGCAAUCUACCGGAGCCUAAGGGCAGAAGGCAGGGGUCCGAAUGCAGCCCGGGAUCACAAAGAAAGCAGGUCGUUUGCAAUCUACCAGAGCCUAAGGGCAGAAGGCAGGAUAUUAAUAACAAUUUCACAGGCUGGGUGAACACAGCCGGCGAUGCUGAAAUUAUUAUCAUCCUCUCCCCCUCUUCCCCUCCUGGCUCUCAGUCCCCGCCUCACGGGUUAUGUAGCGGGUUAUGGCAAGAAGACAAACUGCAGUUUCCUGCACAGAACAGCACAAACAAUGAUCCAAGCUCAGUUACAACACAAUAUUGGUCAUCAUUUGACCAUGGACUUCAAUAUCAACCCUUAGAAACCUUCCUAAAACAGGUCAGCAAAACACCAAGAAGCAAUAUCCUGAAUGAUAGGAAAAUAUCCUUGCUUGUGCAAAUUGUUUCCACUUAAUUUUUUUCAACAAAUGUUAAUUAUAUUUUUACUUUCUAAAAAUUUUUAAUAAAAUAUAGCCUACUUGGUUAAAAAUGGUGUCAAAGCUUUUCUAAAAGUUAAGGCAUUACAUAAUUCAGUGGCCCCUGUGGCUGCCAUGGAUAAUUCUUUUUUUUCUGUUCAUCUUCAAAGAAGGG
RNAcentral lists this long non-coding RNA (817 nucleotides) under Homo sapiens (human). RNAcentral's name for it is "HSALNT0367528". Lineage: Eukaryota; Metazoa; Chordata; Mammalia; Primates; Hominidae. The record is from RNAcentral.